UAGUAGGCGGAUUUCACCUGAACUUCACUUGAAGCUUGGGGAUAGAGGGAGGAUCUUUUCCCUAGUAGCUUAUCGGAGAGGCUAGCGAUCCAUACCGGGCUGUGGUUCGCGGGACUUGGUGAACCCAACUCUGUAGCUCGGAGCCAGGAGAAGAUCAAGUUUAGGACUUGGGGGUGUCAGAGAGUUGUUUUGUCUGCGUUAUCAGUAUCUUGUUAUUACCUGCUUGUGAGUGUAAGACUUGUAUUGUGAUUGUAUUUGUAAUUUGCGAACUGUUGGAUUGUAUUU
Molecule: long non-coding RNA, 285 nt
Organism: Dioscorea cayenensis subsp. rotundata (Guinea yam)
Lineage: Eukaryota; Viridiplantae; Streptophyta; Magnoliopsida; Dioscoreales; Dioscoreaceae
Exons: 3
Source: RefSeq, a predicted model, not a curated record